Molecule: non-coding RNA, 106 nt
Filed under: Leptolyngbya sp.
Lineage: Bacteria; Bacillati; Cyanobacteriota; Cyanophyceae; Leptolyngbyales; Leptolyngbyaceae
Also listed under: 1 other name
Description: Glutamine-I sequence
Rfam family: Glutamine riboswitch aptamer (glnA leader)
Source: RNAcentral
AACGUUCAUUCCUCUUCGGAUUGAUUGCAUCUACCGGUUGCUGUUAGUCCUGCAAGGAACGGAAGUAGGGAAAAAUAGUUUAGCUAUUUGACCGAAGGAACGCGCC